CUCUGUGUCACACUAUAUAAUUACUGUCUUGAUUGAUAUUGAAUGUUUUGUAUAGGGCACUUGAGAAAGCUUCGAUGGAGGGAUGGAUGAUGGGAAGCAUUUAAAAUCUCAGUGUUGAAAAUUUGUAGGAAUUAAGUAUAAACCAAAUAUUUCUUUUACAGGGUGUAAAGACAAGUAGCUUUUAGAUUAAAUGUCAGCUUAAGUGACAAAAUUAAGGUCUUAUCAAUUAUUUAAAGAUUUGGAUUAUGCAGUUUGAUAGUAACUUAAUUAGUGAUUCAAAUGUCUAGUCCAACAUUCAGGACAGGAUCUGCCGUCUUUAGUUCAAGUUGCUCCAGACGUGAGCUGACAGAGCAACUGUAGCCAAAGACAUCACUAAAUGACUGACUACCAAACAUGACCUCACUUUUGUCCUCAUGGAUAUCCUUACCAUGAGGUAGUUCUAGAGACUGGAUGAAAUUUAAAAACCUAGUAACCCAAACAAGUUCCUAAGUUUGCCUAAACCUAAGAAUUCCACCUUAUGGACUGAACCACGGAAGCACUAAACAUUUCUUUAUUGAACAUGGGUCGGGGUGUGGUUCGAGGCUGAUGCUGGGUUGGGGAGGUGACACUGGUAUGACAGCUGCAGAGAGGUCCCUGCUAAUCCCUAACAUUGAAGUCUUUCUUAAGCUCUUAUGCCAGAUGGGGCUUGUCUGGGCAGGCAACUGGCAUCCACUCAGGUGCUGAACAUGUGCAUCAGUUGGCAUUGCCUAUAGAUGUUGGCACACAGAGGAUCAGAAGUAGGUCACCAUUUUCCACCUGGACUCAGCAGCUGUGUUCUCUAUUUUCUCUUCCGUUCCACAUGAGUCUUUAGUUAGGUCAGGUGCCACUUGAUAUUUCCUCUCCCACUGUUUUCUACUGUUAGACAUCAAGGGAAAUAUAUAAAUUUGUUCCUAAGGUCAUGGACAUAUUGGUGACUUAACCUAUACCAGAAGCAGGUAUUAACUGCGCCAAUGCAAAGAUCAAGCAGGAACAGUGAACUGAGAACCCACCAUCAAUCAAGUCUUUCCCUAGAGGAUGUGCUACAGGACUGACUGGCCUUGGACUAAGCACCGAGAGAAAAAAAUAGGAAUCCUAAAUUCUAACCCAAGGACUUUUUAUAGUUUAAUCAAUAAGAAAAAAAUUUGAGAGAGGUAAUGAGAUUAUUUCAUUCCUCAACUAGCACAAUUAAGAAACGAACAGCAUGUGAUGUGCAAGCCAUCCCAGGCUCCACUCCACGAAAC
Molecule: long non-coding RNA, 1259 nt
Filed under: Marmota monax (woodchuck)
Lineage: Eukaryota; Metazoa; Chordata; Mammalia; Rodentia; Sciuridae
Source: RNAcentral